Gasterosteus aculeatus aculeatus (three-spined stickleback) is the source of this 1176-nucleotide long non-coding RNA. The record is from Ensembl. Lineage: Eukaryota; Metazoa; Chordata; Actinopteri; Perciformes; Gasterosteidae.
CCAGCAGCUCAGAUAAGCAGCCCCAGUCUCCCCAGUUUACGACUCACGUUGCAGAAGAAGAAGAGAGAAUAAAGAUUAUAAACCGCUGAGAUUUAAAAACAGAGAUUGAUUCACUAAAAGAGGGAAAGUGUCAUUAAAAGGUUGUGCAGGAUUUAAAUGAGGAAUGAAGGUGAUGAGAAAUGAGGACAGUCGUUGUACAUAGUGUCAGUUUUUGUAUUAAUGUUGUCGUGUUUUAGUCUCUAAGUUCUAACCUGAGUGUAAAGUGCCCGAUACACUUGAUACACAAUCUGGAUGAUGGAAGCAAAUGUCUGAUCAAAGGAACAUUGAUAGCAGCAGUACAUGAAAUAUGGACACUUUGUCACAAACGCUUCAACGCCUCCACACUUACAUUUCAAUACGCUGAACAUGAGAGAAAAAGUCUGUCAGACAAUCGCAGAGCGACGGAAUGUGGAAGCAUUUAAAAAUAUCUACUUAGAGGAAAGUUGUAGACUGUUUGAGUUGCUUUUAAUGAUUGUUUGAUGUGUGAAGACGUUGAAGAACAGAAGUUGAGGGUGUUGAAUGAGUCCAAUCAUUAGCAAGGUACUAAACUAAGCAGCAUGAGACACAUUCACAGGGGACAUCUGGACAGACAGGAAGAGGAGUUCAUCCUUUCAUAGAAUUAUGCUUAUUCAGAUAACUAAAAGCAUUUAUCAGAAUAAGAAGAAUUGGUUUCUGAAGGCUAGAAGUUCUUGUAUCUGCUGUUUCUAUUUCAAGUAAAGCUACACAACAACACGGAGAGAUUGUGUCCGUUUGUGAAGGUAAACUGUGAAGGACACUGUCUCAUCCAUUGACCCUGUGAUUGGUCUCUAACUACGUCCUUUACGGAGUCUCACAUCUCCGUUUUCACAGCACAAUACGGCCGUUAUUAAAAGGAUGAAUGUUUACGAGAGAACGGAUCAGAUUGAAGAGCUUUUGUGGGAAGAAAUGCGUAAAUAUGAGCACUUGUACAAGCCGUCAUUGGCGGACUAUGAGGACGCCGGAUGGCCUCUGAUUCAUGGAGGGAGAUCUCCACAAACGAGGGGAACAAAGUCGUGGAGGAAAAUACGGGACAAAUGUGUCCGUGAUGAAAAGCAGCAGUGUGGAUGCACGGGGCAAUAAAGUCUAUGAUCAAUAAAUAAAGCAACCAACGACUUCCAC